This 73-nucleotide transfer RNA is filed under the name Candidatus Moraniibacteriota bacterium. RNAcentral's name for it is "tRNA-Thr". It matches the Rfam family "tRNA". Rfam says of the family: Transfer RNA (tRNA) molecules are approximately 80 nucleotides in length. Their secondary structure includes four short double-helical elements and three loops (D, anti-codon, and T loops). The record is from RNAcentral. Lineage: Bacteria; Candidatus Moraniibacteriota.
GCCAUCUUAGCUCAGUUGGUAGAGCAAUUGUUUUGUAAACAAUCGGUCGUCGGUUCGAGUCCGACAGAUGGCU